This 250-nucleotide signal recognition particle RNA is filed under the name human gut metagenome. RNAcentral describes it as "Bacterial large signal recognition particle RNA". It matches the Rfam family "Bacterial large signal recognition particle RNA". From Rfam's summary of the family: The signal recognition particle (SRP) is a universally conserved ribonucleoprotein involved in the co-translational targeting of proteins to membranes. Archaeal SRP consists of a 7S RNA and homologues of the eukaryotic SRP19 and SRP54 proteins. The record is from RNAcentral.
UGUGCUAGCCGGGGACGCAGCGGCUCCCUGUAUCUGUAAAUCCGCUAUAGCAGAGGUUACGCCUUUUCCGAGGCUCUGUCCGUGUCGGGUCAGCCUGCGGUAAGUGGUGAUGACGGUUGAGUCUUGCGCAACAGAAGCUUGUGAACCGUGUCAGGUCCGGAAGGAAGCAGCACUAAGCAAUAACUUUUGUGUGCCGUAAGGUCGCUUGACCUGAGCUAACUGCCACAGUAACGUCGGUACGGCUCUGUCG